RNAcentral lists this ribosomal RNA (1367 nucleotides) under Enterococcus hirae. Its description in RNAcentral is "bacterial SSU rRNA". It matches the Rfam family "Bacterial small subunit ribosomal RNA", at positions 67 to 1405 of the family's 1533-position model. Lineage: Bacteria; Bacillati; Bacillota; Bacilli; Lactobacillales; Enterococcaceae. The record is from RNAcentral.
CGCUUCUUUUUCCACCGGAGCUUGCUCCACCGGAAAAAGAGGAGUGGCGAACGGGUGAGUAACACGUGGGUAACCUGCCCAUCAGAAGGGGAUAACACUUGGAAACAGGUGCUAAUACCGUAUAACAAUCGAAACCGCAUGGUUUUGAUUUGAAAGGCGCUUUCGGGUGUCGCUGAUGGAUGGACCCGCGGUGCAUUAGCUAGUUGGUGAGGUAACGGCUCACCAAGGCGACGAUGCAUAGCCGACCUGAGAGGGUGAUCGGCCACAUUGGGACUGAGACACGGCCCAAACUCCUACGGGAGGCAGCAGUAGGGAAUCUUCGGCAAUGGACGAAAGUCUGACCGAGCAACGCCGCGUGAGUGAAGAAGGUUUUCGGAUCGUAAAACUCUGUUGUUAGAGAAGAACAAGGAUGAGAGUAACUGUUCAUCCCUUGACGGUAUCUAACCAGAAAGCCACGGCUAACUACGUGCCAGCAGCCGCGGUAAUACGUAGGUGGCAAGCGUUGUCCGGAUUUAUUGGGCGUAAAGCGAGCGCAGGCGGUUUCUUAAGUCUGAUGUGAAAGCCCCCGGCUCAACCGGGGAGGGUCAUUGGAAACUGGGAGACUUGAGUGCAGAAGAGGAGAGUGGAAUUCCAUGUGUAGCGGUGAAAUGCGUAGAUAUAUGGAGGAACACCAGUGGCGAAGGCGGCUCUCUGGUCUGUAACUGACGCUGAGGCUCGAAAGCGUGGGGAGCAAACAGGAUUAGAUACCCUGGUAGUCCACGCCGUAAACGAUGAGUGCUAAGUGUUGGAGGGUUUCCGCCCUUCAGUGCUGCAGCUAACGCAUUAAGCACUCCGCCUGGGGAGUACGACCGCAAGGUUGAAACUCAAAGGAAUUGACGGGGGCCCGCACAAGCGGUGGAGCAUGUGGUUUAAUUCGAAGCAACGCGAAGAACCUUACCAGGUCUUGACAUCCUUUGACCACUCUAGAGAUAGAGCUUCCCCUUUCGGGGGCAAAGUGACAGGUGGUGCAUGGUUGUCGUCAGCUCGUGUCGUGAGAUGUUGGGUUAAGUCCCGCAACGAGCGCAACCCUUAUUGUUAGUUGCCAUCAUUUAGUUGGGCACUCUAGCAAGACUGCCGGUGACAAACCGGAGGAAGGUGGGGAUGACGUCAAAUCAUCAUGCCCCUUAUGACCUGGGCUACACACGUGCUACAAUGGGAAGUACAACGAGUCGCAAAGUCGCGAGGCUAAGCUAAUCUCUUAAAGCUUCUCUCAGUUCGGAUUGUAGGCUGCAACUCGCCUACAUGAAGCCGGAAUCGCUAGUAAUCGCGGAUCAGCACGCCGCGGUGAAUACGUUCCCGGGCCUUGUACACACCGCCCGUCACACCAC